UCAAGGGCAGUGUUUUGGCAACUUGGCCUAUGCAUUCAGCCAGCUGGGGGACCACGAGGCCGCGGGGGAGAACUAUCUGCACGCCAUGCAGGCCUUCAAGGAUUCGGAUGACCUCCCUGGGCAGUGGCAGGCUUGUGAAGGGCUAGGAGCAGCCCGCUUCCACUUAGGAGACCCCGAGAAGGCGAUCCUGCAUUACAAGGAGGCACUAACGUUGCUCUCUAAGUGCCGGGAUGUCCCCGAAACGGCCCAGGAGCGGAUCGUGAACAAGCUCACGGAUGCCAUCCAGUACCAGCUCUCUCUGAACAGCCGCUUCUCCCACGGGGGCGGGAUAGCCGCGGCUGCCCCUCUGAAACACUUUCCUGGGAAGUUACAGACCUCCAGUCAGGUCCGGUUUUCCACAGCACUGCACCAGGGGCAUGGGAACAGGCCCCAGGCAUUGCACCAGGGAAGCAAUUCGUCCUUCGUGAAGCACAUCCCCCCAGCAGAGACCACAGAGGAGCAAUAUGAGUCCGUGCUGGGUGCUUCAAUGCAUCCGAGACCUUCUCCACAGCGAAGGGCCCGGGGUGGCUCGCAGCACACUGGGAGGCAGCCUCUGCAGGGACCAAGUUACAGGGCUUCAGAGGUGGGUGCGGCACAGACAACGGUCCUGGCGGAAGGAUCCCCGCUAGAUCACAGAGACCCACGCUGCCGCCCGGUGCUAGCACACAAUCGCUGCGAGGAGCUCAACAGCGCUGUCACGGCUCCAGAAUAUCACAAUCAGCCUCAGGCUAAUAGCAAUUUGAACAACACUUACCUGCACCCGGAUUCUUUCUACUACAACUGCCUGCAGAAUGGGAAUUGCCAUCAUUCAUCGAAAAAUUUCACAGGCCCUCACGACUAUGAAACCCUCCGACUGAGAACGAGGACCCUGGAGCGAGCUGCUGCCAACCCAGCUGGAUGUCUCCCUGGCGAGAGACCGGAGCCCUGGCAACAGCAAAGGAGACGCAGGUUCGAGUCCAUAAUGUGCAUGCUCAUGUGAUGGUAAAUUACAGCGGCUUGGCUUUGCUCUGCUCUGAGUAAACCAGGGAUGCUUAGACAUUGAGUCAUAGCAGGGUGCAGGGCACAUUUACCCUUCUCGGUCUACAAAGCCCUCCACAGACUUCCCCACAACCUCUUCAAGGCACCGUCCUCCUCUCUGUCCCUCCACCACUGGUGCAAGGGCCUUCUCCUCUGCACCCCUCGCCCUCUGGCGCAACCUCCAUCUUGCCGAAUCCCCAGCUCAUCUCGCCUGAGACACGAGACAGGAUGUCUUUCCACAAGUCGUCGGGCUCAGCAUAGGAGUGGCCGAGCGCAAUCCCCCAGCCGUGUAUUAGCCAGACGAGAUGACCAUGGAGGUCCUUCUUGACAUUACAAAUGCACGAUGCAAAUUUAGAUGAUAAACGCUUUGGGGCAGGGAGCGUCGUUUUGUACAGCAGCUUGCACCAUGGGGUCAGGAUAGAGCUCCCGAGUGCAAUGGCUUACACAUAAUAAAAUGCAAAUAUGUCUUUCCUCCCUCCCUCUC
Molecule: long non-coding RNA, 1540 nt
Filed under: Chrysemys picta bellii (western painted turtle)
Lineage: Eukaryota; Metazoa; Chordata; Testudines; Emydidae
Description: lncRNA (ENSCPBG00000025799.1)
Source: RNAcentral